UACAGAGGGUGCGAGCGUUAAUCGGAAUUACUGGGCGUAAAGCGCACGUAGGCGGCUUUGUAAGUUAGAGGUGAAAGCCCGGAGCUCAACUCCGGAAUUGCCUUUAAGACUGCAUCGCUCGAAUCAUGGAGAGGUGAGUGGAAUUCCGAGUGUAGAGGUGAAAUUCGUAGAUAUUCGGAAGAACACCAGUGGCGAAGGCGACUCACUGGACAUGUAUUGACGCUGAGGUGCGAAAGCGUGGGGAGCAAACAGG
This 253-nucleotide ribosomal RNA is filed under the name uncultured bacterium. RNAcentral's name for it is "partial 16S ribosomal RNA". It matches the Rfam family "Bacterial small subunit ribosomal RNA", at positions 524 to 776 of the family's 1533-position model. The record is from RNAcentral.